Molecule: ribosomal RNA, 793 nt
Filed under: uncultured archaeon
Lineage: Archaea
Description: bacterial SSU rRNA
Rfam family: Archaeal small subunit ribosomal RNA
Source: RNAcentral
ACGGCUCAGUAACRCGUAGUCAAUCUACCCUAUGGACGGGAAUAACCUCGGGAAACUGAGAAUAAUGCCCGAUAGAACAUUAUGCCUGGAAUGGUUUAUGUUUCAAAUGAUUUAUCGCCAUAGGAUGGGACUGCGGCCUAUCAGUUUGUUGGUGAGGUAAUGGCCCACCAAGACUAUUACAGGUACGGGCUCUGAGAGGAGUGGCCCGGAGAUGGGUACUGAGACACGGACCCAGGCCCUAUGGGGCGCAGCAGGCGAGAAAACUUUGCAAUGUGCGAAAGCACGACAAGGUUAAUCCGAGUGGUUUCUGCUAAAGGAACCUUUUGUCAGUCCUAGAAACACUAACGAAUAAGGGGUGGGCAAGUUCUGGUGUCAGCCGCCGCGGUAAAACCAGCACCUCAAGUGGUCAGGAUGAUUAUUGGGCCUAAAGCAUCCGUAGCUCGUUUUGUAAGUUUUCGGUUAAAUCCAUGCGCUUAACGUAUGGGCUGCCGGGAAUACUGCAUAACUAGGAAGUGGGAGAGGUAGACGGUACUCGGUAGGAAGGGGUAAAAUCCUUUGAUCUAUUGAUGACCACCUGUGGCGAAGGCGGUCUACCAGAACACGUUCGACGGUGAGGGAUGAAAGCUGGGGGAGCAAACCGGAUUAGAUACCCGGGUAGUCCCAGCUGUAAACUAUGCAAACUCAGUGAUGCAUUGGCUUGUGGCCAAUGCAGUGCUGCAGGGAAGCCGUUAAGUUUGCCGCCUGGGAAGUACGUACGCAAGUAUGAAACUUAAAGGAAUUGGCGGGGGAGCAC